Molecule: long non-coding RNA, 491 nt
Filed under: Homo sapiens (human)
Lineage: Eukaryota; Metazoa; Chordata; Mammalia; Primates; Hominidae
Description: non-protein coding WDFY3-AS2:13
Source: RNAcentral
AAGAAACUGGGCAAGCCAAUGAAAGUCUCUGGGGAUCAUGGGAAUUGAGUGUCUAUGAAAACCAUAUUCCAGACAAGAAUAUAGUCUAAGGACACAGCAAGAGGCAACAUUUUGGAAGCAGAGGGCAACUCUCACUGGAAACCAAAUCUCCUGGCACCUUGAUCUUGGAUUUUACAGCCUCCAGAACUCUGGGAGGCAUUACAUAGUCAUGUGCGAGGUCAAAACUGAGUCACCACCACAACCAAGUUCCAGCUGGCAAGAAGAGGAAAAAUAACACAGAGGAGUUAUGACCAGUGUUGUAAGGAUCUGGCCUAGAAAUGGCAUGCAUCUCUUCCACUAAUAUCCUAUUGGUAAAAAUGUAGUCACAUGGGCACACCACCUAUCUGCAUGGAAGGCUGGGAAAUGUUGAUCGGUAGGGCAGCCAUAUGUGUAGGAAGGAGAAAACAGAAUUUGGUGGAUACCUAGUAGUCUCUGCCAUACCCUUGACCAGA